RNAcentral lists this ribosomal RNA (468 nucleotides) under uncultured bacterium. RNAcentral's name for it is "partial 16S ribosomal RNA". It matches the Rfam family "Bacterial small subunit ribosomal RNA", at positions 28 to 507 of the family's 1533-position model. The record is from RNAcentral.
GGCGAACGCUGGCGGCGUGCUUAACACAUGCAAGUCGAACGGAAAGGCCCUGCUUUUGUGGGGUGCUCGAGUGGCGAACGGGUGAGUAACACGUGAGUAACCUGCCCUUGACUUUGGGAUAACUUCAGGAAACUGGGGCUAAUACCGGAUAGGAGCUCCUGCUGCAUGGUGGGGGUUGGAAAGUUUCGGCGGUUGGGGAUGGACUCGCGGCUUAUCAGCUUGUUGGUGGGGUAGUGGCCUACCAAGGCUUUGACGGGUAGCCGGCCUGAGAGGGUGACCGGCCACAUUGGGACUGAGAUACGGCCCAGACUCCUACGGGAGGCAGCAGUGGGGAAUAUUGCACAAUGGGCGGAAGCCUGAUGCAGCAACGCCGCGUGCGGGAUGACGGCCUUCGGGUUGUAAACCGCUUUCGCCUGUGACGAAGCGUGAGUGACGGUAAUGGGUAAAGAAGCACCGGCUAACUACGUG